RNAcentral lists this unclassified non-coding RNA (512 nucleotides) under Papiliotrema sp. DMKU-CE120. Its description in RNAcentral is "contains ITS1, 5.8S rRNA and ITS2". The stretch from base 130 to 283 matches the Rfam family "5.8S ribosomal RNA". The record is from RNAcentral. RNAcentral also lists the same sequence under 1 other name. Lineage: Eukaryota; Fungi; Basidiomycota; Tremellomycetes; Tremellales; Rhynchogastremaceae.
GGAAGGAUCAUUAAAGAUUGACCGAAAGGUCUCUCUAUAUCUAUAUCCCUCACCUCUGUGAACUGUGGACCUCCGGGUCUAUUUAACAAACAUCAGUGUAAUGAACGUAUAUAUCAUUAAACAAAACAAAACUUUCAACAACGGAUCUCUUGGCUCUCGCAUCGAUGAAGAACGCAGCGAAAUGCGAUAAGUAAUGUGAAUUGCAGAAUUCAGUGAAUCAUCGAAUCUUUGAACGCACCUUGCGCCUUUUGGUAUUCCGAAAGGCAUGCCUGUUUGAGUGUCAUGAAAUCUCAAUCCCCCUGGGUUUAUGAUCUGGGUCGGACUUGGAUAUGGGCGUCUGCCGGUCACACGGCUCGCCUCAAAUGACUUAGUGGAUCUCUCUGCAUCCGUGACAGACGUAAUAAGUUUCGUCUUGUCCCUUGCUUAUGAGUCUGCUCAUAACCUGCCAUCGCGCACUUUAGACUCUGACCUCAAAUCAGGUAGGACUACCCGCUGAACUUAAGCAUAUCAAU